RNAcentral lists this transfer RNA (60 nucleotides) under Fulicoffula longipila. RNAcentral's name for it is "tRNA-Thr". Lineage: Eukaryota; Metazoa; Arthropoda; Insecta; Psocodea; Philopteridae. The record is from RNAcentral.
GCUUUUGUAGUUUAAGUAGAACAUUAAAUUUGUAAUUUAACAGAGUUGUAGCCAAGAGCU